Long non-coding RNA from Anopheles aquasalis, 1167 nucleotides. RefSeq lists it as uncharacterized. NCBI's taxonomy places the organism in Eukaryota, Metazoa, Arthropoda, Insecta, Diptera, Culicidae. The record is from RefSeq and is a predicted model, not a curated record.
GAGAUUUCACCGAAAGCGUUACCGUUUGGAGAAAAGCCGAAAGGGUUACCUGGCGUUUUGUUUACAAUUUUCUCUGGCUUGAAGUCAAGAGUGGUUGUGAAAAAACAGGGGCCGCUGCAACAGUGCUACAUCUAUCCCAUCGUCGUCUGCUGAGUAUGGAGGUUGUGGAUAGCGACGGCGAAGUAUGCUUCGAACACGGGUACGCUGUGAAAGAUGUUGAUGAUUCAAGCUGGAAAUGUUUGUUCGGAAUGCUAUCUACGAUAAGCAAACGGAUUGUGGAGAUGCAAAUCCAGCUGGAUGAAAUCGACCGACGAAUUCAAGAGUGUGAGGAGGAACAAGAACACCGUACAUCUGUUAUCCGCAGCGAAAUGCAACUAUUCAAAUCGAAGGUAGCUGUGAUAAAAAAUAUGCUGGAUACGACCGCCAUUGAAGCUCUAGCGCCACCAAUAACGGCUUUAAUCAAGCCGGCCAAAUGCAAGGAAGAUUUGGAUGAACUUGAAGUCAAAGCUAAGGACAAACACUAUAGCACUUUGAUUACUCAGGCGGUUGGCCGGCAGCUUGGCUUCAAUCGACAAGGAGAAGGAGCUUCCGUGUGCCAUCAAAUAGUUGACUAUUUUUUCGACAGACAGUUUCUGAUUGAAUGUUCCUGGUCCGGAGAAUCCAGACAUCUCGGGAAGCCUUAUCGGGGGAUAAGAAAGAUUGCUCUAUCGUCGUACAAGCAUGUGAUAGAGCUGUUCCACGCUUGCGUCUGCGUUUCCGAUGAUACAUUCACACAAAAUCAGUGUGUUAAAUUUUUACGUCUAUGUCUACAGUAUUCCACGAUCCGUGUGAAGGCGAAGAGAACACGAAAACCAGUAGCACGCCGAAGCAAAGCCAAGAAGAAACCCACGAGCGAAGAUUUAGCACUAAAGGCGCUCGUUGAGAAUCAAUUGCGUAGACUGCAGACGAUUGCGGAAAAUUAGAUGACUUGCGUCCCGAUAGAAUAAAUUGAUAAGACAAUACCAACAUAUUUUAAGAAAAUGCGGAAUAAGGACAGCUUCCAGGGACUAUCGAAGCACGUAAAGAGAAAUUAGAAUUGAGAAACAAGGAGAAAUCAUUCUUUUGAACCGAUAGUCGAUUUUAUUAUUAGUUAUCUUGAAUAAAUUGUAGUUCUUCAACUGCAACUUA